RNAcentral lists this ribosomal RNA (253 nucleotides) under uncultured bacterium. RNAcentral describes it as "partial 16S ribosomal RNA". It matches the Rfam family "Bacterial small subunit ribosomal RNA", at positions 524 to 776 of the family's 1533-position model. The record is from RNAcentral.
UACAGAGGUCUCAAGCGUUGUUCGGAUUCAUUGGGCGUAAAGGGUGCGUAGGUGGCGGGGCAAGUCAGGUGUGAAAUCUCGGGGCUCAACCCCGAAACUGCACUUGAUACUGCCUUGCUUGAGUACUGGAGAGGAGACUGGAAUUUACGGUGUAGCAGUGAAAUGCGUAGAUAUCGUAAGGAAGACCAGUGGCGAAGGCGAGUCUCUGGACAGUUACUGACACUGAGGCACGAAGGCCAGGGGAGCAAACGGG